RNAcentral lists this ribosomal RNA (447 nucleotides) under uncultured bacterium. RNAcentral describes it as "bacterial SSU rRNA". It matches the Rfam family "Bacterial small subunit ribosomal RNA", at positions 330 to 795 of the family's 1533-position model. The record is from RNAcentral.
ACCAGACUCCUACGGGAGGCAGCAGUGGGGAAUAUUGCACAAUGGGGGAAACCCUGAUGCAGCAACGCCGCGUGAGUGAAGAAGUAUUUCGGUAUGUAAAGCUCUAUCAGCAGGGAAGAAGAUGACGGUACCUGAUUAAGAAGCCCCGGCUAACUACGUGCCAGCAGCCGCGGUAAUACGUAGGGGGCAAGCGUUAUCCGGAUUUACUGGGUGUAAAGGGAGCGCAGACGGCAGUGCAAGUCUGGAGUGAAGGCCCGGGGCCCAACCCCGGAACUGCUCUGGAAACUGUGCGGCUAGAGUACUGGAGGGGCAGGCGGAAUUCCUAGUGUAGCGGUGAAAUGCGUAGAUAUCGCGCAGAACUCCGAUUGCGAAGGCAGCGUACCGGCGCCAGACUGACGCUGAGGCACGAAAGCGUGGGGAUCGAACAGGAUUAGAUACCCCGGUAUC